Molecule: ribosomal RNA, 380 nt
Filed under: uncultured eukaryote
Lineage: Eukaryota
Description: SSU rRNA
Rfam family: Eukaryotic small subunit ribosomal RNA
Source: RNAcentral
AGCUCCAAUAGCGUAUAUUAAAGUUGUUGCGGUAAAAAAGCUCGUAGUUGGAUUUCUGCCGAAUCUGUCUCGUCCGCACCAUGUGCGUGUAUGUAGUUCGGGUUUGGCAUCCUCGCCGACGAAGUUUCUGCGCUUGAUUGCGUGGAGCUAAGUUUGCGACUUUUACUUUGAGGAAAUUGGAGUGUUCACAGCAGGCUAUUGCCCGAACAUAUUAGCAUGGAAUAAUACCAUAGGAUCUCGACCCUAUUUUGUUGGUUUCUAGAGUUGAGAUAAUGAUUAAUAGGGACAAUUGGGGGCAUCCGUAUCAACGCGUCAGAGGUGGAAUUCUUGGAUUGCGUUGCGACGAACUACUGCGAAAGCAUUUGCCAAGGAUGUUUUCA